GUACUGGGUAGCUCACUUGGUUAGAGCACAGUGCUGAGAACGCUGAGAUUGCAGGUCCGAUUUCUGUAUGGGACA
Molecule: non-coding RNA, 75 nt
Organism: Podarcis lilfordi (Lilford's wall lizard)
Lineage: Eukaryota; Metazoa; Chordata; Lepidosauria; Squamata; Lacertidae
Source: the annotation of a GenBank genome assembly